UGCCAGCCGCCGCGGUAAUACGGAGGGUGCAAGCGUUAAUCGGAAUUACUGGGCGUAAAGCGCGCGUAGGUGGUUUGUUAAGCGAGAUGUGAAAGCCCCGGGCUCAACCUGGGAACUGCAUUUCGAACUGGCAGGCUAGAGUAUGGUAGAGGUGAGUGGAAUUUCCUGUGUAGCGGUGAAAUGCGUAGAUAUAGGAAGGAACACCAGUGGCGAAGGCGACUCACUGGACCAAUACUGACACUGAGGUGCGAAAGCGUGGGGAGCAAACAGGAUUAGAUA
RNAcentral lists this ribosomal RNA (279 nucleotides) under uncultured bacterium. RNAcentral describes it as "partial 16S ribosomal RNA". It matches the Rfam family "Bacterial small subunit ribosomal RNA", at positions 506 to 784 of the family's 1533-position model. The record is from RNAcentral.